UGUAAAUUGUUUAAAACGCCAGAAAUUCGUCGGUGAAAACGGCGCGCCGUAAGCGGGGAGGCCUGGGUUUCAGAUCGUGGUUUCAAAACUUCCGGAUGCAGCCGCCGUGACCCCUGACUUUACCGCGCUUGCGCUUCGCCGUCUUAGACCGCAGCAGAAUGAAAGUUGUACCAUUUGAAAGAGCACAUUUCAAGCUUUAAAAUGAUGCCUGGAACAUGAGGAAAAAUUAAUUUUUCGGGGGACAAAAGUCAAUUUGAAAGGAAUCGUCGAUCUUUAAUGAUAAAAAUCACCGAACGAACUUUAUUUUUUCUUCUUGUUCCUGGUGCCAAACUGACGACAAAAAACAGGGCUACGUUUUGAUGUAAUCAGCAUGUUUACAGCAUGCACACCAGCGAAGCGGCGAGCUGUUUUCCCCGACGAUCGCCCCGAUUUGGCCGGCCGGCGGCGCCGCGCGAUCCUAACGCGCCAAAUUUUGGGCUCCGCGCCCCUCAGAAACGGAGGAUGAGUGACUGAAGCGGCACAAAUAGAACAUUUUUCGACGCUAUGGAUGAAGAAUUUCAAGCCAGGUUCCUACUGACCGGGCGAGGUUGACGCAGUUGGUACUGAGGUUCAGUCGCAGAAGAUGGCUCAGAAACAGUGACACUUACCUCCUUCCAUCUUGUUGCAGGUGGAAUGUAGAUUGUACCAACUCCCAGAUGUAGCUGAUAUAAGACCGGAGAGCGGAGCGGAGAUAUUGAAUGGUAGAGGUCAAACAUAAUGUUGACAAGUUGUGCAGCCAGUUCCAUUAUCAGCAUUAAGUUUGUUUAAAGAAUACUGUUGCUACCACAGAGAAUGAUAAGUAAGCUGUGAAAAGUUGUUUACCUUGAAUUAUUAUGUACUAGUAU
Molecule: long non-coding RNA, 884 nt
Organism: Branchiostoma floridae (Florida lancelet)
Lineage: Eukaryota; Metazoa; Chordata; Leptocardii; Amphioxiformes; Branchiostomatidae
Exons: 3
Source: RefSeq, a predicted model, not a curated record